GGCAGUAUGGCCGAGUGGUUAAGGCGAUAGACUUGAAUUCCUCAUUGAAAUCUAUUCUCUUCGGAGGCGUCGGUUCAAAUCCGGCUGCUGUCG
This is a non-coding RNA of Aspergillus homomorphus CBS 101889, 93 nucleotides long. Lineage: Eukaryota; Fungi; Ascomycota; Eurotiomycetes; Eurotiales; Aspergillaceae. The record is from the annotation of a RefSeq genome assembly.